GUUUAAUGUUAUUUAGGACAAUUGGGCAGUACUGGAAGGCAAAAGAGAUAAGUACAUUUUGUAACAUCUAUUUGCACUGACAAACAUACAGCGAGGGAACUCAACAAUUACAAGGAGGAGAGCUGGUGCUAUACUUCUCUAGCGUUUUGAAAUCUGGUGGAAGAAUAAAAUAAAAACAGUAUUAAGGAGCCUGUGGACGUAUGAAAUUGGAUUUGGAGUAGAAGGUUUCGUUCAUAUUACUUUCCAAGAUAGUCCUUGUAGAUCACUGA
RNAcentral lists this long non-coding RNA (269 nucleotides) under Limulus polyphemus (Atlantic horseshoe crab). RNAcentral's name for it is "uncharacterized LOC111087532, transcript variant X1". Lineage: Eukaryota; Metazoa; Arthropoda; Merostomata; Xiphosura; Limulidae. The record is from RNAcentral.